GGCAGUAUAGGCUAUAGUCUCAUCUAAUGGGAAAGUGCAUUGUUUUUCAUUAAUAGGGUCUACUUUGUGAAAGUGAAUUUAUGUUUGUGCUGCAUGAAGAGUUAAUACAAGGUGUGUGUGUGUGUGCAUGUGUGUCUGUGUGUGUGUGUGGGGGGGUGGGGAUUUUAUUUUUG
Long non-coding RNA from Thalassophryne amazonica, 173 nucleotides. RefSeq lists it as uncharacterized. The transcript has 3 exons. The record is from RefSeq and is a predicted model, not a curated record. NCBI's taxonomy places the organism in Eukaryota, Metazoa, Chordata, Actinopteri, Batrachoidiformes, Batrachoididae.